CAGCCUCAGUGUACGGGCGCCUGGGCUCGGUACUGAGACAGAACCCUGUGGAUUAGUCUAGUCUUCGUCUCUCCAGGUAUCCACCUGCCUCACUUGCUGCGUCCAUUGCCCGGAUGGAAGCCAUGUCUCCCCCACAUCUUUGCUUGAGGGUGACAGCUUCUUCAUGGGUCUGUGCCUCUGCAGACAAGUGGCUCUAGCCAGGCGAUGAUGACAACAGCCUGAAGCCUCCGGCCAGCUGUCAGGCAUGGCUGGCCUCGUCCUAGAUGUCCAUUCAGGAGGCACCUUCUCUGGAUAGAUCUAGCGAAAUGAUCCUGGUUCCCAGAGCAUGCACAAGUCCCUCUCCUGUGGGGUCAGGAGCCACCAAGACACCUGCUUUCUACAGAACAUAGCCAUCAGCUAAGCUGCCUGGCCUACCAUCCUUACCACCACAAGACUGCUGGGCAGUGGAGCCUGGAACAGUCCAGAGCUCCGGAUCAGAACUGCAGAGAAUCACUCACUCAGUGCUCAGCUGGCCAGGAGCCUUCUCUACCGCUGUGCUGGCGGGUGGCCACUCUGACAGGUGUUUAGACACCUUCAAGCGGGGAACCCACCCAUCCCAAGACACCCCAUCUGUGGCUGGAAAGCUCAAACUGUAAUAAAAUUCUUUGCUUGAUCAACUGAAAAUUAGCUUUUACAUUUCCUCAGAACCUCCCUCCCUCCUCCUUUCUUCUUUCUUCCCAGCUCUGGAGAGGUGGAGGAUUCCUAGAGCUCACCGGUAGCCAGCCUGGCUGCACCACUGACAUACACAUACCCCAGCUCACUGAGAGAUCCUGCCUCAAAACAACCGUGGAGAGGGACUGAAGAAGACGUCUGAUAGUGUUUCUUCUCUCCCUCCCUGAGCCGUGUGCACAGGACCACACUAGACCUCAGAUGAGCAGAUGCAGCAGGAUGCAGCCCCAGUCAGCCAGAAGGGGGCGUUUUGAACGAGUGAUUUCACUGAUCCAGUUCAUCCCUCGAGCCCAAGCACAAUAAGGCAAUGGAGGAACAAAGACUGGCAGGUCCCAAGCACAGGAGAUGACGCAGCUCACCCAGGGCCAGGUUCUCACUUCCCCAUGUGUGCGAGAGAAAAAAGCCAGGAUCCUGGGCUGGUCAUCCCACUGUGUGGCCUUGGGCCAACCAUGUCCCUUCUCUGAGCUCUCCGUCAAAAGGCAUGUGUCCUCUUAUCGGCAGUCAGGAGGCUCUAACACCUGAGCUGAGUUACAUGGCAGGGCUGUGCACAUGAGGAUCUAACUCCAGCAAGGUCAAGGAAGAAGGAUGAGGAAGAGGAUGGAAGGAAGAGUGAAGGAUGGGAAUUGGUUCCCAGGGUGACCCUGAAGCUGAGCCCUUGGGAACAUCAGCAUUUGCCAGAUGGCGGGAGAGAAGGGCACCGUGGUAGCAGAUGCAAGGCAGGUAGGUGGCGAGGAACAUUGGCACAGCUGAGGAUAAGCCAUGUGACCAUCGAGCGGUGUGCCCACUGGAAGCCUCGAAAGCAGCAAGGCUGGGUCCAGAAAGGCCUGGCAACUGGAUCAGGUGACCUUGAACUUGACCCUGCAGGUGAUGGAGAGCUUUUGUGUGAAGUGUGGGACAGAGAGGGCAGCAGUGGUACUGUCACGUGUGUGUUCUAGAAGAGUCCAUGGCAGUGGCCAUCGGCAAGGAUGUGCACACUGCCAGGGGGCUUUGCACCCAGUCAGGAAGGGUGGGGCCAGGAGGAGCAGGGCCAGAGGAGGGAAGGAGCUGGAUAGAGCUGGAUGGAGCUGGCUUUCUGAAAUACCUCAGGUCUGCGGUGGUGUUUUAUUUCUCUGGUGUGCUGGAGUGGAAGUUUGCCUUUAAUCCUUCUCUGACAAGUUAAGUCAGCCCCUUGUCAUUUAAACGCAGCAGGGCGUGAGUCAGGCAGAGACACUGAAAAUCACACUUUGGGCUUAUUAUAGCUCCAUGUUCCACCAGCUCAGAAGCCCUGCAGCAGCAAAGGCCAGGACUCCCACUUCCAAUGGAGAGACACAUGAAGCUCACCUUGAGGGGUGCCCUGGCUGGGCAGCCUUGCCUCUUCCCUCAGCCCGGGAUCCUGUGAGAUGAGACAAAGCAGAGACUGCCUGCAAGGUGAGAAGGAACCAACACAGUCUCCGAUCUCCACCUGGGAUUAACCUCAGUUUUACAGGAAGGAGCCUGAGGCUCAGAGAGGGGAAGUGGUUGGCCCAAGGCCACACAGCAGGAUACUCUCUGCCAGGUCCUGGCUCUUUUCUCACGGAUGCAGCGGAUAAAUGAGGACACAUACCAGACAAGCUCAGCCAUCACCCUGUUGGCCUUGGAUUCUCCAAGCUGCAAUCUUCUGUCACCAUCCAAUAAGAAAGACCGUUGAUUGUGGAGUCCAUGUGUGGGCCAAUAGAACAUCCUGAUAUUUGUGGUUCAUGCCAGCUGUUGGCUCUCCCUCUUGACAGGUUGGGAGCCAAGAGCUCUUAUCAGGCCCGCGUGGGGCAGGGAAAAGAUCUCAUUGCCAGUAUCGGGAAAUUGAUCUUAAUCCCCAAGAGCAGAAGGAUUUUUUUUUUCUGGUCAAAAAUUCCUCUCCUGGUGCCAGAAAGGGCAGUGAUGAACUGCCAACAUCAAGCUGUCCUUUCUUUCUUUCUUAUCUCCCUCCCCCGGCCAGGAGCAGCCAUGUGCAAACCCGGGCUGAUGGAGCUGGCCUCUGGAUUGAUCCCGGUCUCCGGCAGUGGCUCUUCCCACCCUUGCUGAUCAUGGCACCCGCCCCUCCUCAUCUUGAUCCCUGGAAGGCUCAUGAAGAAGGACUCUCACAGCCUUACAGAUCUCACCACACCCGUGCACAUCUGAGUUUGGACUUCACCAACCCGCACUGCACAUUUCAUGUCGAUAACCAUCCACCCAGACGUGUGAUGCUGGGGCUCCUGUGCUUUGUGUGUGGGGUAAUAAGGAGCCUUUGAGGACCUUCAGUCUCUUGGUCCCACAGAAUUGUACAACACAGGCUAGGGAGAUAACUUAGUCAGCAGAGUGCUUGCUUAGA
Peromyscus californicus insignis is the source of this 3031-nucleotide long non-coding RNA. RefSeq lists it as uncharacterized. NCBI's taxonomy places the organism in Eukaryota, Metazoa, Chordata, Mammalia, Rodentia, Cricetidae. The record is from RefSeq and is a predicted model, not a curated record. The transcript has 3 exons.